AGGACGAACGCUGGCGGCGUGCUUAACACAUGCAAGUCGANCGGGGAUUGCUGCUUCGGUGGCAAUUCUAGCGGCGGACGGGUGAGUAACGCGUGGGUAACCUGCCUCACACUGGGGGGAUAACAGUUAGAAAUGACUGCUAAUACCGCAUAAGUGCACAGGACCGCAUGGUCUAGUGUAAAAAAACUCCGGUGGUGUGAGAUGGACCCGCGUCUGAUUAGCUAGUUGGUGAGGUAACGGCCCACCAAGGCGACGAUCAGUAGCCGGCCUGAGAGGGUGAACGGCCACAUUGGGACUGAGACACGGCCCAAACUCCUACGGGAGGCAGCAGUGGGGAAUAUUGCACAAUGGGGGAAACCCUGAUGCAGCAAUGCCGCGUGAGUGAAGAAGUAUUUCGGUAUGUAAAGCUCUAUCAGCAGGGAAGAAAAUGACGGUACCUGACUAAGAAGCUCCGGCUAAAUACGUG
This 466-nucleotide ribosomal RNA is filed under the name uncultured bacterium. RNAcentral's name for it is "bacterial SSU rRNA". It matches the Rfam family "Bacterial small subunit ribosomal RNA", at positions 26 to 507 of the family's 1533-position model. The record is from RNAcentral.